GCAGGCUUAGUCACAGGUGGCUGCACAGGGGCUGAGUUUGGGGAGCAUAUGGAGAGAUGACAUACUCAGUAACCACAGGCCAAGGGCACCAUGAGUCACCCAGCUCCCUGGCACAUGGAACUGAGGGCAGAGUCCCUUUCGUGAUCGGCAAGGGCUUGACCCUGUUAGGAUGUGUGGCCAAGUUAACCAUUUAUGCCACGUCUUGUCAGAUUCCAGCUUCAGCUCAUUAUGGGCUUCACUCUGUCCCUAAAUUCCAGUGUCAGGAUAAUUAGAGGCUCAUCCUCCUGUUUGUACGUCUGAUAAGGUGUGAUGUCAGAUUACCUGCUCAUUUGCUCCCAGAACAGUGAACCCUGAGGCCUAGAGAAGUCUGUUCCUGUUGGGUGGACUCCAGAGGGAUUUUCCCUUCAUGGGGAUUUUGUAGAGAAAGCCUGGUGAAGCAGAGACUAGAUUCAGACUCACAGAAUUGUGACCCUGGCUCUGCCACUCACUGCUUGUGGCACUGUGGGUACAUCAAUUUAUCUCUCUGUGCCUCAGUUUCCUCAUCUAUGAAAUGGGGACAAAAUCAUCUGCUCUGCCUAGUUCCCUUGGAAGAGUAAGAUUUAACUCUGAAAUAAACUCAUGUUCUUAAAGGAUUGCCACAUUUGGAAAGGCCUUUCAUAUUUCAGCUUUCUAGGGCUCCUGUGGGGUAGGCAGGGUGAGUGCUUGUACUACUCCCAUUUUACAGAUGAAGAAACUGAGGACCAGAGUCACAUGGCCAGUUAGUGGUGAAGCCUGCACUUAACUCCAGGUCCUACUCUCUGUUCAUGAUGAUACCAGAAGGAGGAGAGAUGUCAAGGUGGUUGAAAGGGGCACUGCAGAAGAAACAGGGCCAUGAGAAUGAGAUACAGAAUGAAAUGCAAGCUCCUGGCCAUGGCCCUGGAUGGGGGAGCAGUGGGGAGGCCCUAUCUGAGCCCCCAGGCCAGAUGCUAGGACGGCUGCACACUCUGGCCUCUGCAGCCCCCACCCUCCUGCUGGGGGCCCUGCCCAUCUUCCACCACCCAGCAGUCCCUGAAAUCUGCCCUGUGUCCUCACAUACCCUCUCUUGUCCACACCUGGCCCAUCUCUGCGCUCUUACUUCUGGUUCUCCGGCCACAAACACCUUCCCUUGGCCCAUCUUUGAUUCCGUGGGAGCCUCCCUUCCUCCCAGAGGGACUACUGUGGGGGGUUUGGAGCUGGAAGCAGGAAUCCUCUCAUCCCUAGCUCCACACUCAUCCCUCUUAUCAAUUUACCACUUACAUGUCUGGUCCGGCGAUGCUCAGACAUCUGGCACCUGCCACAGGGCUAGUCAGGAAAGGUUUUUCCAAUUGAACUGUAUUGAGUAUAUUGCUCCCCUCCCUGGGCCUCAGCCUCUUCCCCUGUGGAGUGGGGUUCUUGGCAAUUGCUGUGCCAACUCCCCAGCCAGCAUCUAA
Molecule: long non-coding RNA, 1448 nt
Filed under: Capra hircus (goat)
Lineage: Eukaryota; Metazoa; Chordata; Mammalia; Artiodactyla; Bovidae
Description: lncRNA (ENSCHIG00010008591.1)
Source: RNAcentral